UAAGACAGAGGGUGCAAACGUUGCUCGGAAUUACUGGGCGUAAAGCGCGUGUAGGCGGGUUGGUAAGCCAGAUGUGAAAUCCCUAUGCUCAACGUAGGAACUGCAUUUGGAACUGCCAGUCUUGAGUAGUGGAGAGGAAAGUGGAAUUCCUGGUGUAGAGGUGAAAUUCGUAGAUAUCAGGAGGAACAUCGGUGGCGAAGGCGGCUUUCUGGACACUAACUGACGCUGAGACGCGAAAGCGUGGGGAGCAAACAGGAUUAGAUACCCUGGUAGUCCACGCCGUAAACGAUGAGUGCUAGAUGUGGCGGGAAUUGACCCCUGCCGUAUCGUAGCUAACGCGUUAAGCACUCCGCCUGGGGAGUACGGCCGCAAGGCUA
RNAcentral lists this ribosomal RNA (377 nucleotides) under uncultured bacterium. Its description in RNAcentral is "bacterial SSU rRNA". It matches the Rfam family "Bacterial small subunit ribosomal RNA", at positions 521 to 896 of the family's 1533-position model. The record is from RNAcentral.